GGAGCAAAUCCCUAAAAGCCAUCCCAGUUCGGAUUGCAGGCUGCAACCCGCCUGUAUGAAGUUGGAAUCGCUAGUAAUCGCGGAUCAGCAUGCCGCGGUGAAUACGUUCCCGGGCCUUGUACACACCGCCCGUCACACCAUGAGAGUCGGGAACACCCGAAGUCCGUAGUCUAACCGCAAGGGGACGCGGCCGAAGGUGGGUUCGAUAAUUGGGGUGAAGUCGUAACAAGGUACC
This 235-nucleotide ribosomal RNA is filed under the name uncultured bacterium. RNAcentral's name for it is "partial 16S ribosomal RNA". It matches the Rfam family "Bacterial small subunit ribosomal RNA", at positions 1264 to 1500 of the family's 1533-position model. The record is from RNAcentral.